RNAcentral lists this ribosomal RNA (748 nucleotides) under Kocuria palustris. RNAcentral's name for it is "bacterial SSU rRNA". It matches the Rfam family "Bacterial small subunit ribosomal RNA", at positions 108 to 866 of the family's 1533-position model. Lineage: Bacteria; Bacillati; Actinomycetota; Actinomycetes; Micrococcales; Micrococcaceae. The record is from RNAcentral.
GAGUAAUACGUGAGUAACCUGCCCUUGACUCUGGGAUAAGCCCGGGAAACUGGGUCUAAUACUGGAUGCUACAUGUCACCGCAUGGUGGUGUGUGGAAAGGGUUUACUGGUCUUGGAUGGGCUCACGGCCUAUCAGCUUGUUGGUGAGGUAAUGGCUCACCAAGGCGACGACGGGUAGCCGGCCUGAGAGGGUGACCGGCCACACUGGGACUGAGACACGGCCCAGACUCCUACGGGAGGCAGCAGUGGGGAAUAUUGCACAAUGGGCGAAAGCCUGAUGCAGCGACGCCGCGUGAGGGAUGACGGCCUUCGGGUUGUAAACCUCUUUCAGCAGGGAAGAAGCCACAAGUGACGGUACCUGCAGAAGAAGCGCCGGCUAACUACGUGCCAGCAGCCGCGGUAAUACGUAGGGCGCAAGCGUUGUCCGGAAUUAUUGGGCGUAAAGAGCUCGUAGGCGGUUUGUCGCGUCUGCUGUGAAAGCCCGGGGCUUAACCCCGGGUGUGCAGUGGGUACGGGCAGACUAGAGUGCAGUAGGGGAGACUGGAAUUCCUGGUGUAGCGGUGGAAUGCGCAGAUAUCAGGAGGAACACCGAUGGCGAAGGCAGGUCUCUGGGCUGUUACUGACGCUGAGGAGCGAAAGCAUGGGGAGCGAACAGGAUUAGAUACCCUGGUAGUCCAUGCCGUAAACGUUGGGCACUAGGUGUGGGGGACAUUCCACGUUUUCCGCGCCGUAGCUAACGCAUUAAGUG